Molecule: ribosomal RNA, 492 nt
Filed under: uncultured bacterium
Lineage: Bacteria
Description: partial 16S ribosomal RNA
Rfam family: Bacterial small subunit ribosomal RNA
Source: RNAcentral
AGUGAACGCUGGCGGUAGGCCUAACACAUGCAAGUCGAACGGCAGCACAGUAAGAGCUUGCUCUUACGGGUGGCGAGUGGCGGACGGGUGAGGAAUACAUCGGAAUCUACUUUUUCGUGGGGGAUAACGUAGGGAAACUUACGCUAAUACCGCAUACGACCUACGGGUGAAAGCAGGGGAUCUUCGGACCUUGCGCGAUUGAAUGAGCCGAUGUCGGAUUAGCUAGUUGGCGGGGUAAAGGCCCACCAAGGCGACGAUCCGUAGCUGGUCUGAGAGGAUGAUCAGCCACACUGGAACUGAGACACGGUCCAGACUCCUACGGGAGGCAGCAGUGGGGAAUAUUGGACAAUGGGCGCAAGCCUGAUCCAGCCAUACCGCGUGAGUGAAGAAGGCCUUCGGGUUGUAAAGCCCUUUUGUUGGGAAAGAAAAGCAGCAGGUGAAUACCCCGCUGUUCUGACGGUACCCAAAGAAUAAGCACCGGCUAACUUCGUG